GGAGGAAGCUGGGCAAUUGCCCCGCCAGUUGGCGGGGAGGAAAGUCCGAACACUCUCCGCCAGUUGGCGGAUCAACUACUCCGGGUAACACCCGGCCGCCGUAAGGCGAGCGGUGCGAACAGAGACGAGCCCCGAAGGCAACUUCGGGGGUGAAACGGCUAAAUCCGUGUAGAGUGCAAGAGUGGAUCAGAAGAGCUGCUUUCAUGCGGAGCUUCUGUGAAAAACAACUCGCUUGAUCCGUGCAGUAAUGUACGAGACAGAUAGAUGAUUGCCCAUUCCGCGAAAGCGGGAGGACAGAAUUCGGCUUAUAGGUUUCCUCCGACA
Molecule: RNase P RNA, 324 nt
Filed under: Candidatus Wildermuthbacteria bacterium GWA1_49_26
Lineage: Bacteria; Candidatus Wildermuthiibacteriota
Also listed under: 8 other names
Description: RNase P RNA component class A
Rfam family: Bacterial RNase P class A
About the family: Ribonuclease P (RNase P) is a ubiquitous endoribonuclease, found in archaea, bacteria and eukarya as well as chloroplasts and mitochondria.
Source: RNAcentral